Molecule: ribosomal RNA, 1421 nt
Filed under: Pediococcus pentosaceus
Lineage: Bacteria; Bacillati; Bacillota; Bacilli; Lactobacillales; Lactobacillaceae
Description: bacterial SSU rRNA
Rfam family: Bacterial small subunit ribosomal RNA
Source: RNAcentral
CGUUAAUUGAUUAUGACGUACUUGUACUGAUUGAGAUUUUAACACGAAGUGAGUGGCGAACGGGUGAGUAACACGUGGGUAACCUGCCCAGAAGUAGGGGAUAACACCUGGAAACAGAUGCUAAUACCGUAUAACAGAGAAAACCGCAUGGUUUUCUUUUAAAAGAUGGCUCUGCUAUCACUUCUGGAUGGACCCGCGGCGUAUUAGCUAGUUGGUGAGGUAAAGGCUCACCAAGGCAGUGAUACGUAGCCGACCUGAGAGGGUAAUCGGCCACAUUGGGACUGAGACACGGCCCAGACUCCUACGGGAGGCAGCAGUAGGGAAUCUUCCACAAUGGACGCAAGUCUGAUGGAGCAACGCCGCGUGAGUGAAGAAGGGUUUCGGCUCGUAAAGCUCUGUUGUUAAAGAAGAACGUGGGUAAGAGUAACUGUUUACCCAGUGACGGUAUUUAACCAGAAAGCCACGGCUAACUACGUGCCAGCAGCCGCGGUAAUACGUAGGUGGCAAGCGUUAUCCGGAUUUAUUGGGCGUAAAGCGAGCGCAGGCGGUCUUUUAAGUCUAAUGUGAAAGCCUUCGGCUCAACCGAAGAAGUGCAUUGGAAACUGGGAGACUUGAGUGCAGAAGAGGACAGUGGAACUCCAUGUGUAGCGGUGAAAUGCGUAGAUAUAUGGAAGAACACCAGUGGCGAAGGCGGCUGUCUGGUCUGCAACUGACGCUGAGGCUCGAAAGCAUGGGUAGCGAACAGGAUUAGAUACCCUGGUAGUCCAUGCCGUAAACGAUGAUUACUAAGUGUUGGAGGGUUUCCGCCCUUCAGUGCUGCAGCUAACGCAUUAAGUAAUCCGCCUGGGGAGUACGACCGCAAGGGUUGAAACUCAAAAGAAUUGACGGGGGGCCCGCACAAGCGGUGGAGCAUGUGGUUUAAUUCGAAGCUACGCGAAGAACCUUACCAGGUCUUGACAUGUGGGUGACAGUCUAAGAGAUUAGAGGUUCCCUUCGGGGACAGAAUGACAGGUGGUGCAUGGUUGUCGUCAGCUCGUGUCGUGAGAUGUUGGGUUAAGUCCCGCAACGAGCGCAACCCUUAUUACUAGUUGCCAGCAUUAAGUUGGGCACUCUAGUGAGACUGCCGGUGACAAACCGGAGGAAGGUGGGGACGACGUCAAAUCAUCAUGCCCCUUAUGACCUGGGCUACACACGUGCUACAAUGGAUGGUACAACGAGUCGCGAGACCGCGAGGUUAAGCUAAUCUCUUAAAACCAUUCUCAGUUCGGACUGUAGGCUGCAACUCGCCUACACGAAGUCGGAAUCGCUAGUAAUCGCGGAUCAGCAUGCCGCGGUGAAUACGUUCCCGGGCCUUGUACACACCGCCCGUCACACCAUGAGAGUUUGUAACACCCAAAGCCGGUGGGGUAACCUUUAGGAGC